AACGAACGCUGGCGGCAUGCCUAACACAUGCAAGUCGAACGAGACCUUCGGGUCUAGUGGCGCACGGGUGCGUAACGCGUGGGAACCUGCCCUUAGGUUCGGAAUAACUCCCCGAAAGGGGUGCUAAUACCGGAUAAUGUCUUCGGACCAAAGAUUUAUCGCCUUUGGAUGGGCCCGCGUUGGAUUAGCUAGUUGGUAGGGUAAAAGCCUGCCAAGGCGACGAUCCAUAGCUGGUCUGAGAGGAUGAUCAGCCACACUGGGAAUGAGACACGGCCCAGACUCCUACGGGAGGCAGCAGUGGGGAAUAUUGGACAAUGGGCGAAAGCGUGAUCCAGCAAUGCCGCGUGAGUGAGGAAGGGCUUAGGGUUGUAAAGCUCUUUUACCCGGGAUGAUAAUGACAGUACCGGGAGAAUAAGCUCCGGCUAACUCCGUG
Molecule: ribosomal RNA, 433 nt
Filed under: uncultured bacterium
Lineage: Bacteria
Description: partial 16S ribosomal RNA
Rfam family: Bacterial small subunit ribosomal RNA
Source: RNAcentral